RNAcentral lists this ribosomal RNA (183 nucleotides) under uncultured bacterium. RNAcentral describes it as "partial 16S ribosomal RNA". It matches the Rfam family "Bacterial small subunit ribosomal RNA", at positions 1320 to 1500 of the family's 1533-position model. The record is from RNAcentral.
AUGAAGCUGGAAUCGCUAGUAAUCGCGAAUCAGAAUGUCGCGGUGAAUACGUUCCCGGGUCUUGUACACACCGCCCGUCACACCAUGGGAGUCAGUAACGCCCGAAGUCAGUGACCCAACCCUAACCGGAGGGAGCUGCCGAAGGCGGGACCGAUAACUGGGGUGAAGUCGUAACAAGGUACC